RNAcentral lists this ribosomal RNA (369 nucleotides) under Triticum aestivum (bread wheat). RNAcentral describes it as "partial small subunit ribosomal RNA". The record is from RNAcentral. Lineage: Eukaryota; Viridiplantae; Streptophyta; Magnoliopsida; Poales; Poaceae.
AUGCUGAUUUGUUGCUUAGUAUUGGAAGCACAGGAAGUUCCUCACAUGUAUAUGUUCAUUAUCACCUACAAAAAUGUGUUACCUAUCCAAUGCUUACCUACAACCGGGUCAGGGCAGUGCUUGUCUCCUGACGCAACACUAUAUAACAACAGCAGUUCAUCAGCAAGAACAAUAGAAGUUGAACCGAAAUACGAAUCAACAAACCAAACCCAGCAAUGGACAGAUCAACUGCAUAGCACCCAAAUGAAUCUCGAAAAGAAUCAAUGGGCAAACCAAAGGGACAAGGAACUGAAGCCGCAUCUGCGUCGUGUGGCCGGCGGCCGCUGUCACUACCCCGUGGCAGACGAGGGGGCGGGGCAGAAGAGGUGA